This 253-nucleotide ribosomal RNA is filed under the name uncultured bacterium. RNAcentral's name for it is "partial 16S ribosomal RNA". It matches the Rfam family "Bacterial small subunit ribosomal RNA", at positions 524 to 776 of the family's 1533-position model. The record is from RNAcentral.
UACGAAGGGUGCAAACGUUGCUCGGAAUUAUUGGGCGUAAAGCGCACGUAGGCGGCUCUGCAAGUCGGAUGUGAAAUCCCUCGGCUCAACCAAGGAAGUGCAUCCGAAACUGCGGAGCUUGAGUACUUAAGAGGAUCGCGGAAUUCCCAGUGUAGAGGUGAAAUUCGUAGAUAUUGGGAAGAACACCAGUGGCGAAGGCGGCUAACUGGUCCAGCACUGACGCUGAGGUGCGAAAGCGUGGGGAGCAAACAGG